Molecule: RNA transcript, 1475 nt
Organism: Musa acuminata AAA Group (dessert banana)
Lineage: Eukaryota; Viridiplantae; Streptophyta; Magnoliopsida; Zingiberales; Musaceae
Gene name: serine/arginine-rich SC35-like splicing factor SCL28
Exons: 8
Source: RefSeq, a predicted model, not a curated record
GAUCGGCUCGAACUCAGAGGGUUGUUGUUGGGGGCAGCGAUUGCAGCAAGGGCGGAGGUGCGGCAGAGGAACGAGGAAAACAAUCUUAUCAUUACGAAGAAGGGAUACUAGUUGGGAAUUUUCGAAAGUUAAGAAGAGUGCUCAGAGUUAAAAUUCCCCCAAUUUAUUUAUAUAAUUUUGCUUUUUUUUUUAAAAAAAAAUAUCAAAUAGAAGCGGCUCCGAAUUCGAGUUCAUCCCCAACACUAGCUGUAUCCGCCUCUACUGUUUAACACUCGCACACGCCCAAUUACGACGCCGUCUCUCUCGCUCCCGCUCCCUCCUUCCUUCCGUCUUUUCCCCUAGCUAGGGUUUCUGUUUGCCCUUCUCCCUCUCCCUCUCCCUCUCCCUCUUCUUGCGAUGGCGCGAUACCGGAGUCGGAGCAGAAGCUUCAGCCCGCGGCGCGACAGCCGGAGCCCCCCUCGUCGCAAGUACUACGACGACCUCCGCGACCGCCGCGGCGGAGGAGGUCGGGACUACAGGGACCGGCGCUCCUCCGCCCCCUCGGGCCUCCUCAUCCGCAACAUCGCCCUUGACGCCAGGCCAGAAGAUCUUCGCAAUCCAUUUGAGCGUUUUGGUCCUGUGAAGGAUGUCUACCUGCCAAAGAAUUACUAUACUGGGGAGCCCCGGGGUUUUGGAUUUGUCAAGUUUCGCUAUGCAGAAGAUGCUGCAGUGGCUAAGCAACAUAUGAACCAUCAGAUUUUAGGUGGACGUGAGAUCUCAAUUGUCUAUGCUGAAGAAAAUAGGAAAACUCCACAAGAAAUGCGUAUGACGACAAGGAUUAGUGAAAGAUACAUGGAAGGAAGAUACAGUAGGUGUUCUUUAUCCAGAUCUCCUAGACGUCAAUAUUGCUCAUAUUCACGUUCCCCCACUCCACCCAGACAUGAAUCAAGAUCAUAAAAGUGAAAUGGGAUUGUAAAGAAUCAAAGAUUAUUUAAAAAGAAAAGAGUGUGACUCUAAAGUUGUUGGCUAGUUGAUUGACUUGUUUGAAAGCUAUUGAAGAAGUUUCAGUUCCAAUUUUCAACAACAGUGGUUACAGAUUGCAGAGUUUGUUACGAAAGAAACUAUAGUUAAAGGUUCAAGAGAGACAACCAUGGCCUCCAGUGAAUAAGCCGAAAGACAAACUAGGAUGAUCUCCAGAGAAUGGAAGCCCAUCGAGAUACCAUAAUUCUUGAUGGUGGUCAUACCUGAGUUGAAAGUUAACAGAGUGAUCAAUAAGCAAGUACACUGUUUAGGAGAAUAACCAACACAUGCUUGGAUCAAAGUUGCAUAUCUCUGUUCAGGAGUCCCUGUGAUAUGUGGGAUAAUGGCCGGAGCAGUAAGGAUAAUUAUUACUCUCCACCGAGAUCCAUCUCCCCAUCUCCACAGAAUGAUAGGGGUUAUAGGUCGCAUGAUAGGAGGGAUGAUGAUAGGGAAUACAGGUCUCAUGAUGAUGAAAG